This 440-nucleotide ribosomal RNA is filed under the name uncultured bacterium. RNAcentral describes it as "partial 16S ribosomal RNA". It matches the Rfam family "Bacterial small subunit ribosomal RNA", at positions 338 to 795 of the family's 1533-position model. The record is from RNAcentral.
CCUACGGGUGGCAGCAGUGAGGAAUAUUGGUCAAUGGAGGAAACCCUGAACCAGCAACGCCGCGUGAGGGAAGACGGUUUUCGGGUUGUAAACCUCUGUCCUCUGUGGAGAAAAUGACGGUAGCAGAGGAGGAAGCUCCGGCUAACUACGUGGCAGCAGCCGCGGUAAUACGUAAGGAGCAAGCGUUAUCCGGAUUUACUGGGUGUAAAGGGUGCGUAGGCGGCAUGUGAAGUCAGAAGUGAAAUCCAUGGGCGUAACCCGAGAACUGCAUUUGAAACUGGCGGUCUUGAGUGAAGUAGAGGUAGGCGGAAUUCGUGGUGUAGCGGUGAAAUGCGUAGAGAUCGGGAGGAACUCCGGUUGCGAAGGCGGCUUACUGGGCUGUAACUGACGUUGAAGCACGAAAGCGUGGGUAGCAAACAGGAUUAGAUACCCCAGUAGUC